Molecule: ribosomal RNA, 1043 nt
Filed under: Pygoscelis adeliae (Adelie penguin)
Lineage: Eukaryota; Metazoa; Chordata; Aves; Sphenisciformes; Spheniscidae
Description: partial 16S ribosomal RNA
Rfam family: Bacterial large subunit ribosomal RNA
Source: RNAcentral
CCCCCCCCCCCGGACACCCAACUACAACCACCAUGUGGCGAAUCAAGAGCAAUUUAAAGGAGGUACAGCUCCUUUAAAAAAGAAUACAACCUCCCCUAGCGGAUAACUACCCAACUGACCCUAGACUGUAGGCCCUCAAGCAGCCAUCAACAAAGAAUGCGUCAAAGCUCUACCCCAAAAAAAUUCAAAAACAACAGGACUCCCUUAUCUAUAACGGGCCAACCUAUAACAAUAGGAGAAUCAAUGCUAAAAUGAGUAAUCAGGGACCACCCUCUCAAGCGCAAGCUUACAUCACCACAUUAUUAACAAGCCUCAAACUAAUACCCCCAACCCCAAACAAGCCAAAUAUUAAACUUGCCCUGUUAGCCCAACUCAGGAGCGCCCAUUAGAAAGAUCCAAAUCUGCAAAAGGAACUAGGCAACCUCAAGGCCCGACUGUUUACCAAAAACAUAGCCUUCAGCCAGCCAAGUAUUGGAGGUGAUGCCUGCCCAGUGACACUCUGUUCAACGGCCGCGGUAUCCUAACCGUGCGAAGGUAGCGCAAUCAAUUGUCCCAUAAAUCGAGACUUGUAUGAAUGGCUAAACGAGGUCUUAACUGUCUCUUGCAGACAAUCAAUGAAAUUGAUCUUCCUGUGCAAAAGCAGGAAUAAACCCAUAAGACGAGAAGACCCUGUGGAACUUAAAAAUCAGCGGCCACCCCACACAACCCAAAACCUACCAGGCCUACGACCCCAAGUAAAACACUGGCCCGCAUUUUUCGGUUGGGGCGACCUUGGAGAAAAGCAGAUCCUCCAAAAACAAGACCACACAUCCUGACCAAGAACAACCCCUCAACGUACCAACAGCAACCAGACCCAAUAUAAUUGAUCAAUGGACCAAGCUACCCCAGGGAUAACAGCGCAAUCCCCUCCAAGAGCCCAUAUCGACAAGGGGGUUUACGACCUCGAUGUUGGAUCAGGACACCCUAAUGGUGCAGCCGCUAUUAAGGGUUCGUUUGUUCAACGAUUAACAGUCCUACGUGAUCUGAGUUCAGACCGGAGCAAU